RNAcentral lists this small nuclear RNA (325 nucleotides) under Rattus norvegicus (Norway rat). Its description in RNAcentral is "7SK RNA". It matches the Rfam family "7SK RNA". From Rfam's summary of the family: 7SK was discovered as an abundant small nuclear RNA in the mid-70s but a possible function has only recently been suggested. Two independent studies have found that 7SK RNA binds the CDK9/cyclin T complex (known as elongation factor P-TEFb). P-TEFb activates transcription by phosphorylating the C-terminal domain of RNA polymerase II. Lineage: Eukaryota; Metazoa; Chordata; Mammalia; Rodentia; Muridae. The record is from Rfam by way of RNAcentral.
GGAUGUGAGAGUGAUCUGGCUGUAAUGCCUCACUCCAUUGACUGCAAGGACUGAUUCAGCUGAUCUUGCUGCCUACGCAAGUGUCUCCUUUCUCCUUUGCCUCUCCAUGUGUGUCCCUCCCAAAGCUGUGUAUGCACUCAAAGAGCAAGGCCUCCCUUUAUAAUGGAGGUCAGUUCUUUGAUCAAGAGUAUACAUGGAGGUGUGCUCCGCCUGCUAAAAUCUCCAAUCUCUCAAAGGCACAUUUAUUUGCUAUUUACAGGCUGAGGAAUGAUGACAAGAAGACACCACAAGUCUAUGUUUUCUCGAAUUGAACUUUUAUAUUACU